RNAcentral lists this ribosomal RNA (910 nucleotides) under uncultured bacterium. RNAcentral describes it as "bacterial SSU rRNA". It matches the Rfam family "Bacterial small subunit ribosomal RNA", at positions 33 to 940 of the family's 1533-position model. The record is from RNAcentral.
ACGCUGGCGGCGUGCCUAACACAUGCAAGUCGAACGGAGAUUACGGACGGAAGUUUUCGGAUGGAAGACUGUAAUUCUUAGUGGCGGACGGGUGAGUAACGCGUGGGCAACCUGCCCUAUACAGGGGGAUAGCAGCUGGAAACGGCUGGUAAGACCGCAUAAGUCGGCGAAACCGCAUGGUUUUGCCGGGAAAUGAGCAAUCAGGUAUAGGAUGGGCCCGCGUCCGAUUAGCCAGUUGGCAGGGUAAAAGCCUACCAAAGCAACGAUCGGUAGCCGGACUGAGAGGUCGGACGGCCACAUUGGGACUGAGACACGGCCCAAACUCCUACGGGAGGCAGCAGUGGGGGAUAUUGCACAAUGGAGGAAACUCUGAUGCAGCGACGCCGCGUGAGUGAAGAAGUAUUUCGGUAUGUAAAGCUCUAUCAGCAGGGAAGAUGAUGACGGUACCUGACUAAGAAGCCCCGGCUAACUACGUGCCAGCAGCCGCGGUAAUACGUAGGGGGCAAGCGUUAUCCGGAUUUACUGGGUGUAAAGGGAGCGCAGGCGGUUUGGCAAGUUGAGAGUGGAAGCAGGGGGCUCAACCCCCUGACUGCUCCCAAAACUGUUAAACUUGAGUAUGGGAGAGGCAGGCGGAAUUCCUAGUGUAGCGGUGAGAUGCUUAGAUAUUAGGAAGAACACCGGUGGCGAAGGCGGCCUGCUGGACCAAAACUGACGCUGAGGCUCGAAAGCGUGGGUAGCAAACAGGAUUAGAUACCCUUGUAGUCCACGCUGUAAACGAUGAAUACUAGGUGCUGGGAGGCAUAAGCCUUUCGGUGCCGUCGCAAACGCAUUAAGUAUUCCACCUGGGGAGUACGUUCGCAAGAAUGAAACUCAAAGGAAUUGACGGGGACCCGCACAAGCGGUGGAGCAU